RNAcentral lists this ribosomal RNA (904 nucleotides) under uncultured bacterium. Its description in RNAcentral is "bacterial SSU rRNA". It matches the Rfam family "Bacterial small subunit ribosomal RNA", at positions 8 to 905 of the family's 1533-position model. The record is from RNAcentral.
AGAGUUUGAUCAUGGCUCAGAUUGAACGCUGGCGGAAUGCUUUACACAUGCAAGUCGAACGGCAGCACGGGUGCUUGCACCUGGUGGCGAGUGGCGAACGGGUGAGUAAUGCGUCGGAACGUACCGAGUAAUGGGGGAUAACGCGGCGAAAGUCGCGCUAAUACCGCAUACGCCCUGAGGGGGAAAGUGGGGGAUCGCAAGACCUCACGUUAUUCGAGCGGCCGACGUCUGAUUAGCUAGUUGGUGGGGUAAAGGCCUACCAAGGCGACGAUCAGUAGCGGGUCUGAGAGGAUGAUCCGUCACACUGGGACUGAGACACGGCCCAGACUCCUACGGGAGGCAGCAGUGGGGAAUUUUGGACAAUGGGGCAACCCUGAUCCAGCCAUUCCGCGUGAGUGAAGAAGGCCUUCGGGUUGUAAAGCUCUUUCAGCUGGAACGAAACGGUACGCUCUAACAUAGCGUGCUAAUGACGGUACCGGCAGAAGAAGCACCGGCUAACUACGUGCCAGCAGCCGCGGUAAUACGUAGGGUGCGAGCGUUAAUCGGAAUUACUGGGCGUAAAGCGUGCGCAGGCGGAUUGUUAAGCAAGACGUGAAAGCCCCGGGCUUAACCUGGGAAUGGCGUUUUGAACUGGCAGUCUAGAGUGCGUCAGAGGGGGGUGGAAUUCCACGUGUAGCAGUGAAAUGCGUAGAGAUGUGGAGGAACACCAAUGGCGAAGGCAGCCCCCUGGGAUGACACUGACGCUCAUGUACGAAAGCGUGGGUAGCAAACAGGAUUAGAUACCCUGGUAGUCCACGCCCUAAACGAUGUCAACUGGUUGUUGGGGGAGUGAAAUCCCUUAGUAACGAAGCUAACGCGUGAAGUUGACCGCCUGGGGAGUACGGUCGCAAGAUUAAAACUCAAA